AGCGAACGCUGGCGGCAGGCUUAACACAUGCAAGUCGAGCGGGCGUAGCCAAGUACGUCAGCGGCAGACGGGUGAGUAACGCGUGGGAACAUACCUUUUGGUUCGGAACAACGACAGGGAAACUUGUGCUAAUACCGGAUAAGCCCUUACGGGGAAAGAUUUAUCGCCGAAAGAUUGGCCCGCGUCUGAUUAGGCUAGUUGGUGAGGUAAUGGCUCACCAAGGCGACGAUCAGUAGCUGGCUGAGAGGAUGAUCAGCCACAUUGGGACUGAGACACGGCCCAAACUCCUACGGGAGGCAGCAGUGGGGAAUAUUGGACAAGUGGGCGCAAGCCUGAAUCCAGCCAUGCCGCGUGAGUGAUGAAGGCCCUAGGGUUGUAAAGCUCUUUUGUGCGGGAAGAUAAUGACGGUACCGCAAGAAUAAG
RNAcentral lists this ribosomal RNA (423 nucleotides) under uncultured bacterium. RNAcentral's name for it is "bacterial SSU rRNA". It matches the Rfam family "Bacterial small subunit ribosomal RNA", at positions 29 to 490 of the family's 1533-position model. The record is from RNAcentral.